UUCCCUACGGGAGGCAGCAGUGGGGAAUAUUGCACAAUGGGGGAAACCCUGAUGCAGCAACGCCGCGUGAGUGAAGAAGUCAUUCGUGAUGUAAAGCUCUAUCAGCAGGGAAGAAAAUGACGGUACCUGACUAAGAAGCCCCGGCUAACUACGUGCCAGCAGCCGCGGUAAUACGUAGGGGGCAAGCGUUAUCCGGAUUUACUGGGUGUAAAGGGAGCGCAGGUGGCAUGGCAAGCCAGAAGUGAAAACCCGGGGCUUAACCCCGCGGAUUGCUUUUGGAACUGUCAGGCUGGAGUGCAGGAGGG
Molecule: ribosomal RNA, 305 nt
Filed under: uncultured bacterium
Lineage: Bacteria
Description: bacterial SSU rRNA
Rfam family: Bacterial small subunit ribosomal RNA
Source: RNAcentral